Molecule: ribosomal RNA, 253 nt
Filed under: uncultured bacterium
Lineage: Bacteria
Description: partial 16S ribosomal RNA
Rfam family: Bacterial small subunit ribosomal RNA
Source: RNAcentral
UACAGAGGUCCCAAGCGUUGUUCGGAUUCACUGGGCGUAAAGGGUGCGUAGGUGGUGAGGUAAGUUUGAUGUGAAAUCUCCGGGCUCAACCCGGAAAUGGCAUUGAAUACUAUCUUGCUAGAGGAGUGGAGGGGGGACUGGAAUACUUGGUGUAGCAGUGAAAUGCGCAGAUAUCAGGAGGAACACCAAUGGCGAAGGCAGCACUCUGGGACGUGACUGACGCUGAGACGCGAAAGCGUGGGGAGCAAACAGG